UUCACUCCCUCUGGGGCACCUGGCGUUGGCUACUGGGCUGGAUGGACCUUUGGUCUGACCCGGUCUGGUCUUUCUUAUGUUCUUAACAGUUGUCAAUCCAGAGCAUUUCUGUGGCUCAAGCAAUGGUUAAUUAUUAGCUACUUAUGCCUUCACCACCUGGCCGGUUAAGCCACUGUUAUCUCUGCAGUGCAGGUACGGUCAGGGGCUGUUCUCAAGCCGGUAAAAGGCUGGGACAAGGAGGAGGGAGGUAAAUUGUUCUCGUUAACCGCUGAGGACAGGCCAAGAAGCAACGGGCUUAAACUGCAGCCCGGGCGGCGUAGGUUGGACAUUAGGAAAAGCUUCCCGUCUGUCAGGCUGGGUAAGGCCUGGAAUAACUUGCCCAGAGAUUGUGGAAUCGGCGUCACUGGCAGGUCAGACAAAGACCUGUCAGGGAUGGGCUAGGUCCCCGGCUCUCAACCUUUCCAGGCUCCUGUCCCCCUCUCCGGAGUCCGAUGUGUCCCCAGGUUCACCUCUCCUGAAAACUGCUUGCUUACAAAACCAGCCGUGACCAUGCCCAUAGUGUCCCAGCACACUGUUACCGACACGGGGCCGAUGUUCUCACUUUUCCCAUGUCCUUAUAACAAAGGGGGGGGGCCCGAUUUUGGUUGGAGGAGGGAUUCUGGGUGCCACAGGGGUUCGUGGUCUUGUGUCCUGACAGCGCCUGGCCCGGGGCUGGGGUGGUGCUGCCGUAAUGCACCUGAGAGCUAUAACGAUGAACGGCACACAGCGCAGUGUGGGGCAAGCCCCUGGCUGGGGUUCCUCGGUGUUCCCGUUGUUGGGGGGUUGGCUGAAAUGUUGUUGCUAUGGGCUGGGUGUAUCCUGUCCCCCCUCAGCCUUCCUGGCUCCUUCGCCUUUAAAGUGGCUUAGAAAAGCCUCAAGCACCUCGCCCAAAACCUCGCCCCCGCCUCUGACCUUGGCUGGCACUUUGCCUGCAGGAGCCGACUGGCUUUGUUUGGGGUUGAUCUUCGAAGGGACGAGCUCCUGGCCCGGCCCUGCAGAGCCGCACGCCACGCAGGCCAGUGGCCCGCGAGCAGCCCCGAGUUGCUCCCCGCACUUGUAGGGAGGGGAGUUUGUCUGGAGACCCUCCCUGCUCCAUCAGCAGCUGUACAGGUUCCUGCCUGCUUGGAGAUAAUCUCCGGGGCCUCGCCUGAAUCUGUCGCAGGAGGCCGAGCUGUAACCGAAGCUCCGGUGAAUCACAUUCUCACAGCCCUGCCCUCCAUGUGGGGAGCGUUGCCGGAGAAUCGCGGCUUGAGGAGCGCUCUGCAAACAUGAACGGCUUAAUUCUCGUGGCGCUCCACCCUGGGAGGCAGGACAGUUUAGAAUGGGGGAAACUGAGGCAGGGGAGGGACAGGGAAGUGACUUGCCCAAAGUCACUCGGCAGGUCAGAAAUGGAACCCAGGAGUCCUGACUCUGUCCCCCUCCAGCACCCUAAACACUAGACCCCCUCCCAGGGCUGCAGAUAGAACCCAGGAGUCCUGAAGGCCAGCUUUGUGCUCUAGCCACUAGGCCCCAGUCCUUUCCCCCAGCAAAUGAGAAGUGCUUCUGCCAAAUAUUUCAGGGGUCCUGAAAGUCCAGCAUUGCGGGGCCCCCUGGCUGUUCAGAGAGGCUGUCACCAGCUGGGGGCUUUGAACCGGGGAGAUGCAGGGCUAACAGCAUCUGGCUCCGCUCCUUGAGCUAAGGGAUUAGCUCCCUCGGCUGGCAGCAACAGUAGACCCAGAAACUGAAUCAGUGGAGCAGCCACUAAGGGGAGACGGUGGGAGAUACCCGAGCACUGUGGGUUCGAAUUCUGGGCAGCCCCCAGUGAGGAGGUGUGGAUGCCUCCCCCUGCAGGAAAACCAGGACCCACUGAGCUGCUUCCACGGGGAGACCCUGGUGAUGACCACACACAACCUGUUCUUCGGGGGGACAGAGACCGUCAGCACCACCCUGCGCUACGGAUUCCUCCUCCUCAUGAAGUACCCGGAGAUACAGGAAAAGUCCACGCUGAGAUCAACCAGGUGAUGGGGUGGCACCGCAGCCCGUCGGUAGACGACCAGGCGCGCAUGCCCCACACCGACGCCGUGAUCCACGAGGUGCAGCGUACGGCGACGUGAUCCCCAUGGGGCUCCCCGGGACACCCGGUUCAGGGGUUUCCUGCUGCCAGAGGGCACCAACGUCAUCCUGCUACCGUUCUCCGUUCACAACGACCCCGCCCAGUCCAAAGACCCGGCCACGUUCGGCCCUGCCCAUUUCCUGGACCCGAGAGGAGGUUUCCGAAAG
This is a long non-coding RNA of Chelonia mydas (Green sea turtle), 2298 nucleotides long. RefSeq lists it as uncharacterized. The transcript is spliced from 3 exons. NCBI's taxonomy places the organism in Eukaryota, Metazoa, Chordata, Testudines, Cheloniidae. The record is from RefSeq and is a predicted model, not a curated record.